GCCUAGCUGGCUCAGUCAGUAGAGCAUGUGACUUUUGAUCUUGGGGCCAGGAGUUCAAGCUCCAUUUUGGGCU
This 73-nucleotide transfer RNA is filed under the name Canis lupus familiaris (dog). It matches the Rfam family "tRNA". Rfam says of the family: Transfer RNA (tRNA) molecules are approximately 80 nucleotides in length. Their secondary structure includes four short double-helical elements and three loops (D, anti-codon, and T loops). RNAcentral also lists the same sequence under 2 other names. The record is from Rfam by way of RNAcentral. Lineage: Eukaryota; Metazoa; Chordata; Mammalia; Carnivora; Canidae.